AUGCUAGCAUUGGCAGUACAUGUACUAAAAUUGAAAAAGUACAGAGAAGAUUAGAAUAGCUCUUGCACAAGGACGACACUCGAAUUUGUGAAGCGCUCCAUAUUUUU
Small nuclear RNA from Arvicola amphibius (Eurasian water vole), 107 nucleotides. NCBI's taxonomy places the organism in Eukaryota, Metazoa, Chordata, Mammalia, Rodentia, Cricetidae. The record is from RefSeq and is a predicted model, not a curated record.